RNAcentral lists this unclassified non-coding RNA (307 nucleotides) under plant metagenome. RNAcentral describes it as "partial contains 5.8S ribosomal RNA, internal transcribed spacer 2, and large subunit ribosomal RNA". The stretch from base 1 to 105 matches the Rfam family "5.8S ribosomal RNA", at positions 50 to 154 of the family's 154-position model. The record is from RNAcentral.
GAAAUGCGAUAAGUAGUGUGAAUUGCAGAAUUUAGCGAAUCAUCGAAUCUUUGAACGCACAUUGCGCCCCUUGGUAUUCCAUGGGGCAUGCCUGUUCGAGCGUCAUUUCAACCCUCAAGCACUGCUUGGUGUUGGGCGUUUGUCCCGCCUACGCGCGUGGACUCGCCUCAAAGUCAUUGGCAGCUGUUCCCCUUCGGCUCGUAAGCGCAGCACAGUCGGCGCCCGGAGCUCUGGUGGGAUGGCGUCCAGCAAGCUAUAUUUUCAGGCUUGACCUCGGAUCAGGUAGGGAUACCCGCUGAACUUAAGC